This 247-nucleotide ribosomal RNA is filed under the name uncultured bacterium. Its description in RNAcentral is "partial 16S ribosomal RNA". It matches the Rfam family "Bacterial small subunit ribosomal RNA", at positions 523 to 769 of the family's 1533-position model. The record is from RNAcentral.
AGACAGAGGUGGCAAGCGUUACUCGGAAUUAUUGGGCGUAAAGCGCGUGUAGGCGGUUGGUUAAGUCUGAUGUGAAAGCCCUGGGCUCAACCCGGGAAGUGCAUUGGAAACUGGCUAACUUGAGUACGGGAGAGGGUAGUGGAAUUUCGAGUGUAGGGGUGAAAUCCGUAGAUAUUCGAAGGAACACCGGUGGCGAAGGCGGCUACCUGGACCGAUACUGACGCUGAGACGCGAAAGCGUGGGGAGC